UUUGGCACCUCGAUGUCGGCCCAACACAUCCUGGGGCUGGAGAAGGUCCCAAGGGUUCGGCUGUUCGCCGAUUAAAGUGUUACGCGAGCUGGGUUCAGACCGGCGUGAGCCAGGUCGGUCCCUAUCUUCCGUGGGCGCAGGAUACUUGAGAGGGUGUCUCCCUAGUACGAGAGGACUCGGAGGCACGUGCCUAGGGUGUACCUGUUGUCGCGCCAGCGGCACCGCAGGGUAGCCAAGCACGGAAAGGCUAAACGCUGAAAGCAUCUAAGCGUGAAGCCCUCCUCAAGAUGAGGUAUCCAGGUCCGCAAGGACGAGAGGACCCUGGAAGACUACCAGGUUGAUAGGCCGGGCGUGCAAGGACCGAGAGGUCUUUAGCCUACCGGUACUAAUGUCCGAUCACUUGACCACAA
RNAcentral lists this ribosomal RNA (410 nucleotides) under Planctomycetota bacterium. RNAcentral's name for it is "Planctomycetes bacterium (freshwater metagenome) partial 23S ribosomal RNA". It matches the Rfam family "Bacterial large subunit ribosomal RNA", at positions 2517 to 2925 of the family's 2925-position model. Lineage: Bacteria; Pseudomonadati; Planctomycetota. The record is from RNAcentral.